The sequence is a transfer RNA, 82 nucleotides long. It matches the Rfam family "tRNA". Rfam says of the family: Transfer RNA (tRNA) molecules are approximately 80 nucleotides in length. Their secondary structure includes four short double-helical elements and three loops (D, anti-codon, and T loops).
GUCGGUAUCGAUUAGGGGUUAAAUCACUUCGUUGUGGAUUUCCAAUUCCGAAGAGCCGCUGGUUCGAUUCCAGCUACCGACA